RNAcentral lists this long non-coding RNA (770 nucleotides) under Pogona vitticeps (central bearded dragon). RNAcentral's name for it is "lncRNA (ENSPVIG00000024596.1)". Lineage: Eukaryota; Metazoa; Chordata; Lepidosauria; Squamata; Agamidae. The record is from RNAcentral.
UCCUGGGGGCUGCUUGCCCUCGUCCUAAAGCCUUCUGCCCUCCCGCGCUCCCCACCCCCCCUCCAAUCAACUAGCCCGGGGCUGGUCGGUAAUUAAUCACUCGGCGUUGGAAUGGCCAAUGCCUCUUUGCCCGAGCUCGCCCUCCAUCUCUCGGCUGCCCUCCUCCUCCUCCUCCCUCUGCCUGCCCGUUUUCCCGUCCCCAGUGAUGCAGCUGCGGUAGCGACCGGCAGCAAAUCCGGCUUCUCCCUCCGCUUCUUUCUGCCCUGCUCUGGCUGGCUGGCUCCAUCAGCCUCCCCACCAUCGCCACCCUGUUCUGCUCGGCUCUGCGGGCCUCCCCGGGCGUGCGUGUGCGAGAUCUCGCCUUGCACCUCCCCGGGUGCCUCGAGGAGUGGGGUGUGUGGAACCGCACACCCUCCCUCCCCCUUAGCAAUCGCAAGGAAUUUGAAUGAAGAGGGGUCCUCGGCUGCUGCUGCUGCUUCCUCCUCUUCCUCUUCCUCCCGGCUCGCGCUGUCGUUGGGAUGCACCAGCUGAACUUGGGAGAAGCCUCUCUCGCGAAGAAGCAGGAAGUUCAGGGCACUAUGUAACUUCACAGCAGGCUGCAGGAAAGGUUGCCUGAAGACCUAAGGAUUCCCCCCCCCCACGCCCCCAAGGCAAGCCAGUUAAUUUUGUGAAGGCUAAACUCCGCUUUGUGGCCAUAUUCUUGCUGAUCUCCAUCCUGCAUUCUUGUUGCACUCCAUCAGCUGUCAUCCCCAUGUUAGCUGCACAGAGUU